AUUGAACGCUGGCGGCAGGCCUAACACAUGCAAGUCGAACGAGUGGCGGACGGGUGAGUAAUGACUGGGAAACUGCCCGAUGGAGGGGGAGAACUACGGGAAACGGUAGCUAAUACCGCAUACCAUCGGAUGUGCCCAGAGGGGAUUAGCUUGUAGGUGGGGUAACGGCUCACCUAGGCGACCAUCCCUAGCUGGGCUGAGAGGAUGACCAGCCACACUGGAACUGAGACACGUUCCAGACUCCUACUGGAGGAAGCAGUGGGGAAUAUUGGACAAUGGGCGAAAGCCUGAUCCAGCCAUGCCGCGUGUGUGAAGAAGGUCUUCGGAUUGUAAAGCACUUUAAGUUGGGAGGCGUUACCAACAGAAUAAGCACCGGCUAACUUCGUGCCAGCCGCCGCGGUAAUAC
RNAcentral lists this ribosomal RNA (406 nucleotides) under uncultured bacterium. RNAcentral's name for it is "partial 16S ribosomal RNA". It matches the Rfam family "Bacterial small subunit ribosomal RNA", at positions 30 to 526 of the family's 1533-position model. The record is from RNAcentral.